CUUUUUGCGAAGUGGGCUCGUGGGUUGGCAGUAUGAGAGUUGUAAUGGCCCGACUGUUGAGUGAGGGGGAGCAGGGGAUCCCAACGGCUUGCGCUGCCUUUGCGCAGCAGCCGGCGGGCGGCCACGUCGCGGCCUGGCUGGGGUAGGAGAGGGCGGUCCCCAGUGCAGUUGGGUGAACUACCGUUGCACACUGGAGUUUCUGGUGUCUUUGCUUGGAACUGACCUAGCUCGUGGCAGGGGGAACUCGGCUAGCGGCCCCACAGCCCCUGCUGACUCAAAACAACUGAGUUGUAAGACGUUCAUCGCCGUGUUAUCCUUGAGUAAAGUUUUUUUACAGAAGCGGGCUUUUGCCAUGUUGUCCAGGCUGGUCUCUACUCCUGGGCUCAAGCAGUCCUCCUGCCUCAGUCUCCCAAAGUGCUGGAAUUACAGGGAAUGAACUCUGGAAGCCCAGCCAGGGACAAUGCACCUUCACAGAGAUUCUGCACUAAUCUGAGUGAAGGUCUAAGGUUUGGAAUCUCCCCCUCAUGGAGAGAAGCUUUGUAUGGCUGUCAUGCUUAGACAGUGAUUCCUGCAACUUGACCUUCAGGCUGGGAGAGGUGGAGAGCCAUGCCUGUUCUCCUUCCUUGCUAUGGAAUUUGCUGACACAAUAUCUUCCGCCUGGUGCUGGGCAUAUCCUAAGAACUUACAACUUUCCUGUAUUAUCCUGUGUGAGCAGCUGUCACCUUAUUGGGGGAAAAAUGCCUGAAAAUUAGGGGGCACUUCAAGUAGAUAGCUUCUAUUUCCUAUAUUUGUCUUAUAUACAAGUAUUUGCUUUUAUCAAAAUAAUUCCAAUAAAGCAUUUUAAAGUAAA
Homo sapiens (human) is the source of this 850-nucleotide long non-coding RNA. RefSeq annotates it as small nucleolar RNA host gene 32. The record is from RefSeq and is marked validated. The transcript has 5 exons. NCBI's taxonomy places the organism in Eukaryota, Metazoa, Chordata, Mammalia, Primates, Hominidae.